Molecule: long non-coding RNA, 715 nt
Filed under: Vigna radiata
Lineage: Eukaryota; Viridiplantae; Streptophyta; Magnoliopsida; Fabales; Fabaceae
Description: long non-coding RNA (VRAD_LNC011864)
Source: RNAcentral
GAGGGAUAGGUUAGUCAAUCAACGGAGAAGGUGCGGCAGCGGUGGUGGUGGAAGAGGGAGAAGGUCCACCUGAAGAAGAACCACCGGCUGGAGAAGAAGAUCCACCCACCUCACAUGCCCUGCGUGGACCGUCAUGGUCAUCCUCUCUAGGACAAGUGGCAGGCAUGGGUGUAAGUGUAGAAGCGGGCUCAGGAGGCACAACAGUCUGCUUCCCUGACCUGAGGGUGAUGGCACUCACGUUCCUAGGAUUUUGCACAGUCUGGGAGGGUAGUUUAUCAGAAUUUUGAGACUGUGCCUGGUUCAACUGAGUAGCCAUCUAACCCAUUUGGUUAGUGAGACUUUGUAUAGAAGCUCUCGUCUCCUGCUGAAAUUGCAUAUUAUCUUUCUGAAACUGUAGGUUUUGCAAAGUCAUCUGUCUCACUAACUCUUCCAAUGUAGGGUCAGAAUAAGUGGAAGGUUGGGCAGCUGGUUGGGCAGGUGCUUCUUGUUGCUGUUGUUGUUGCCUUUGGUGUUGUUGCAUAGGUGGAGGCACAUAUCUGUUAGGUGCUCCGGCAUUCUGGAAAGGUGGCGCCUGCUGCUGCUGCUGUGGCGCAUUGUUCCACCUAAGAUUAGGGUGAUUCCUCCACCCUGGGUUGUACCUGUUGCUGGACAAGUCAUAAUUCUGCUGUUGUGGCUGCCUGUUGUUGUAGAUGUUAGUAGCAUAAGCUUGAGGCGC